This is an RNA transcript of Leptopilina boulardi, 897 nucleotides long. It is a transcript of the gene named myosin light chain alkali, with no coding region annotated. The transcript has 6 exons. NCBI's taxonomy places the organism in Eukaryota, Metazoa, Arthropoda, Insecta, Hymenoptera, Figitidae. The record is from RefSeq and is a predicted model, not a curated record.
UCUCGAAUGUCUGACGAGUGCGCCCUCUGGGAAAAUAAAAUGAUUAAGCGCGGAAGCUUUUGCUCGCACUUCUGGUUCUUGCUUCGUUUCGUCUACAUUCAAAGGCUAUCAUCAGAAUCAAGCAGCUACCAUGGCUGAUUUACUGCCCAAGGAAGUCGAAAAGGCACAAUUCGCCUUCUCCAUCUACGAUGCUGAUGGCUCAAAUGUCAUUGAUGCUUGUGAUUUAGGAAAUGUUCUUCGUGCUUUAAAUUGUAAUCCAACAAAUGCAACUAUUCAAAAAUUCGGUGGCACUGAAAAACGUGGCGAAAAAACAAUGAGUGUUGAGGAAUUUUUGCCAAUUUUCAGUGACGCCAAAAAAGACAAGGACCAAGGAUGCUAUGAGGAUUUCCUCGAGUGUUUGAAACUCUACGACAAACAGGAAAAUGGAACCAUGCUUUUGGCUGAACUUUCCCAUUUAUUAGUAACAUUGGGUGAAAAAUUGGAUGAAUCCCAAGUCGAGGAAGUUUUCAGAGACUGCUUGGACCCUGAAGAUGAAGAUGGUUUCAUCCCCUACACCCCUUUCAUCAAGAAAUUUAUGGCGUAAAAUGUGUGUCGAGAGAUUCAUUAAUCAACAAAUAAGAGAUGUCGUCAGUCCAUUCCUGAAACGACUGUGCGAAAGAGCAGCUGCCGGCUCUGAAGAUUAAUUCGUCAUUAUUUUUUUUUCCUCCUCUACGCAACAUUAUUGGGAAACUGUUAUACGGUUUUAUUCAACACUUCCAUAUAUUAUAUAUAAUUAAGACGAAUGCGAAAAAAUUCCAUUCGACUUUUUUACAAUCAUUUACACAUUCAUCUAUAAUUAAAUAACAAAAAAAGAAGCGAAAAAAAAAUCGAAAAAUAUAUUAAUUUAUCCCACAGGAA